This 150-nucleotide unclassified non-coding RNA is filed under the name soil metagenome. Its description in RNAcentral is "partial internal transcribed spacer 1". The record is from RNAcentral.
CCAGAAGAGACCCUAACCGGUCCUCUCAACCCUGCCCAUCGUACCUUUGUGUUGUUCCCUCGGCGAGUGCUUCGCGGCCCGCCGCGGGAAGAUCCAACAAACCUCUUUGCAAGACAAGCAUUCUAAAUCUCUGAUCAAACAUAAUUGUCA